AGGUAAGCUACUAAGAGCGAAUGGUGGAUGCCUUGACUGGUAAAGGCGAUGAAGGACGUACUAGACUGCGAUAAGCUACGGGGAGCUGUCAAGAAGCUUUGAUCCGUAGAUUUCCGAAUGGGGCAACCCAAUGUAUAGAGAUAUACAUUACCUAUAUAGGAGCGAACGAGGGGAAUUGAAACAUCUUAGUACCCUCAGGAAAAGAAAUCAAUAGAGAUUGCGUCAGUAGCGGCGAGCGAAAGCGCAAGAGGGCAAACCCAGUGCUUGCACUGGGGGUUGUAGGACUGCAAUGUGCAAGAGGUAAGUUUAGCAGAACAUUCUGGAAAGUAUAACCAUAGAGGGUGAUAGUCCCGUAUGCGAAAAACAAACCUUAGCUAGCAGUAUCCUGAGUAGGGCGGGACACGAGGAAUCCUGUCUGAAUCCGGGUCGACCACGAUCCAACCCUAAAUACUAAUACCAGAUCGAUAGUGCACAAGUACCGUGAGGGAAAGGUGAAAAGAACUGAGGUGAUCAGAGUGAAAUAGAACCUGAAACCAUUUGCUUACAAUCAUUCAGAGCCCUAUGUAGCAAUACAGGGUGAUGGACUGCCUUUUGCAUAAUGAGCCUGCGAGUUGUGGUGUCUGGCAAGGUUAAGCAAACGCGAAGCCGUAGCGAAAGCGAGUCUGAAUAGGGCGCUUAGUCAGAUGCUGCAGACCCGAAACGAAGUGAUCUAUCCAUGAGCAAGUUGAAGCUAGUGUAAGAACUAGUGGAGGACUGAACCCAUAGGCGUUGAAAAGCCCCGGGAUGACUUGUGGAUAGGGGUGAAAGGCCAAUCAAACUUCGUGAUAGCUGGUUCUCUCCGAAAUAUAUUUAGGUAUAGCGUUGUGUCGUAAUAUAAGGGGGUAGAGCACUGAAUGGGCUAGGGCAUACACCAAUGUACCAAACCCUAUCAAACUCCGAAUACCUUAUAUGUAAUCACAGCAGUCAGGCGGCGAGUGAUAAAAUCCGUCGUCAAGAGGGAAACAACCCAGACUACCAGCUAAGGUCCCUAAAUCUUACUUAAGUGGAAAACGAUGUGAAGUUACUUAAACAACCAGGAGGUUGGCUUAGAAGCAGCCAUCCUUUAAAGAAAGCGUAAUAGCUCACUGGUCUAGUGAUUUUGCGCGGAAAAUA
Molecule: ribosomal RNA, 1152 nt
Filed under: Campylobacter jejuni
Lineage: Bacteria; Pseudomonadati; Campylobacterota; Epsilonproteobacteria; Campylobacterales; Campylobacteraceae
Also listed under: 1 other name
Description: partial 23S ribosomal RNA
Rfam family: Bacterial large subunit ribosomal RNA
Source: RNAcentral